UGAAUUUGAAUGCUGAUGUUAAUAUAGAGAUAGGAAAAAGUAAAACCUGGGAAGAGGUCUUACUUACGAAAAGUAAAACCUGGCAGCAAAUAAAAACCUCAAAUGCGGUUAUUCUGG
Haliotis rubra (blacklip abalone) is the source of this 117-nucleotide long non-coding RNA. RefSeq lists it as uncharacterized. NCBI's taxonomy places the organism in Eukaryota, Metazoa, Mollusca, Gastropoda, Lepetellida, Haliotidae. The record is from RefSeq and is a predicted model, not a curated record. The transcript is spliced from 2 exons.